RNAcentral lists this transfer RNA (99 nucleotides) under Asanoa siamensis. RNAcentral's name for it is "tRNA-His". The record is from RNAcentral. Lineage: Bacteria; Bacillati; Actinomycetota; Actinomycetes; Micromonosporales; Micromonosporaceae.
AGGACGCCCGCGCGGACGUGUUCGUGUGGGUCGUCCGUGGCGCGGCCGAGCAGGAGGCCCAGCGUUUCCGGGUCGUCGUGCCAGCCCACGGCGACCGCC